UGGGGGUUGGCUCAGUGGUAGAGUGCUUGCCUUGCAUGCAUGAGGCCUUGGUUUCGAUUCCUCAGCACCCAU
This 72-nucleotide transfer RNA is filed under the name Dipodomys ordii (Ord's kangaroo rat). It matches the Rfam family "tRNA". Rfam says of the family: Transfer RNA (tRNA) molecules are approximately 80 nucleotides in length. The record is from Rfam by way of RNAcentral. Lineage: Eukaryota; Metazoa; Chordata; Mammalia; Rodentia; Heteromyidae.